AAUGCACUUUUCUUUGUGCAUUCACACGAUGCAUUUUCUUUUCUUAUCACCAAACUGUUUUGAAAGAUAAAAGUACUUCCUGAAUAUGUGGAUGGUGAGCCACGUGAAUGGAAGACAUGGAGAUAUGGACUGUUAACACCUUGUCAAACAUUUAUUGUCCCUUCCACCUCUAAACUUCUGUGAUAAUAGGUGAACAGGACCCACGUGGUGCAGAAUACUGCGAUACACACUGCGGAAUAAUUCAGAAGAAAGAGACAUUAUACAAAUGCAAGCUGUUGUCACAACAAUGAUAAGAAAUCAGGAGUCGAAAGAUGUGGAGUAAGGGGGAAUUUCAGAGAAACCACAAAACACAAAAUAGGAAACAGAGACAGGAGAAGAUUGCUAUGACAAAAUUGCAGAAGGUGAAAUCUUUGGCAGCCUCUUAUUUCUCUGGAGAAUAUGAUAUUGUCAGGCUGAGGUGGAAGAAUCACAUGGUCAUACUCUCCAUCAAAACUUAUAAAAUCUUGGGAAGAGGAACUGUGGCCCAUCACUGAUCAUUUCAUCUAUUAAGUGACCACUUAUUGUCUUAUAAUAGGAGAUGUUCUGGAAACAUGCAUUGAAUCGAAGUGGCUUUGAGGAAGCAUGAAGAGAAAACAGGAUGGCAUCCUUUUGGCACCAUUUCUUAUGCUAUAAUAAGGAUUCCUUCUGUUUACACAUAAAACAGAAGAGUUUAAUCACCCCAGCAAUCUUUAACUUGGUAAUGAAGGCCAUAAAUUAAAUUUUAAGCAAAGUUAAAGAAGAUGAGAUGAAAUAUAAAACAAAAACAUCAUCAGAAUCUGCCCAGGAACAAUAUUCUUGACACCAAACCAUGACAUUAUGGGGCUCAGUUGUUUGUUUCUAGGGCAGCCCCUUGUUUUAUGUGCCAAAUAGCAUUUCCCUAAAUAAAACUGCAUGGAACAAAA
RNAcentral lists this long non-coding RNA (941 nucleotides) under Homo sapiens (human). Its description in RNAcentral is "long intergenic non-protein coding RNA 1478". The record is from RNAcentral. Lineage: Eukaryota; Metazoa; Chordata; Mammalia; Primates; Hominidae.